Molecule: non-coding RNA, 88 nt
Organism: Pangasianodon gigas (Mekong giant catfish)
Lineage: Eukaryota; Metazoa; Chordata; Actinopteri; Siluriformes; Pangasiidae
Source: the annotation of a GenBank genome assembly
UUAUACAUUUGAUUAUGAACAAUCUCAUUUCGUAUCUCUUUUCAUCCUAAUCAUUGGAAAAAUGCCAUUGAACCGUAUUUCAUGAAUG